AUUAGAUACCCUGGUAGUCCGCACGGUAAACGAUGGAUGCCCGCCGUUGGGUAUUUUUAUUCAGCGGCCAAGCGAAAGCGUUAAGCAUCCCACCUGGGGAGUACGCCGGCAACGGUGAAACUCAAAGGAAUUGACGGGGGCCCGCACAAGCGGAGGAACAUGUGGUUUAAUUCGAUGAUACGCGAGGAACCUUACCCGGGCUUGAAUUGCAGAUGACGGAUCCAGAGAUGGUGACUUCCUUCGGGACAUCUGUGAAGGUGCUGCAUGGUUGUCGUCAGCUCGUGCCGUGAGGUGUCGGCUUAAGUGCCAUAACGAGCGCAACCCCUUUCGUCAGUUGCCAUCGGGUAAUGCCGGGCACUCUGGCGACACUGCCGCCGCAAGGUGUGAGGAAGGUGGGGAUGACGUCAAAUCAGCACGGCCCUUACGUCCGGGGCUACACACGUGUUACAAUGGGGCAUACAGAGAGUUGGUCAUGCGCAAGCAUGAUCGGAUCAUGAAAGUGUCCCUCAGUUCGGACUGGGGUCUGCAACCCGACCCCACGAAGCUGGAUUCGCUAGUAAUCGCGCAUCAGCCAUGGCGCGGUGAAUACGUUCCCGGGCCUUGUACACACCGCCCGUCAAGCCAUGAAAGCCGGGGGCGCCUGAAGUCCGUGACCGCGAGAGGCGGCCUAGGGUGAAACCGGUGAUUGGGGCUAAGUCGUAACAAGGUACC
Molecule: ribosomal RNA, 711 nt
Filed under: uncultured bacterium
Lineage: Bacteria
Description: bacterial SSU rRNA
Rfam family: Bacterial small subunit ribosomal RNA
Source: RNAcentral